GAUGAACGCUGGCGGUAUGCUUAACACAUGCAAGUCGAACGGACUCUUCGGAGUUAGUGGCGGACGGGUGAGUGAAGCGUGAGAAUCUGCCUCUAGGUCGGGGACAACAGUUGGAAACGACUGCUAAUCCCGGAUGAGCCUGCGGGUAAAAGAUUAAUUGCCUAGAGAGGAGCUCGCGUCUGAUUAGCUAGUUGGUGAGGUAAAGGCUCACCAAGGCGACGAUCAGUAGCUGUUCUGAGAGGAAGAACAGCCACACUGGGACUGAGACACGGCCCAGACUCCUACGGGAGGCAGCAGUGGGGAAUUUUCCGCAAUGGGCGAAAGCCUGACGGAGCAAUACCGCGUGAGGGAAGAAGGCCUUUGGGUCGUAAACCUCUUUUCUCAGGGAAGAAGUUCUGACGGUACCUGAGGAAAAAGCCUCGGCUAACUCCGUGCCAGCAGCCGCGGUAAUACGGAGGAGGCAAGCGUUAUCCGGAAUUAUUGGGCGUAAAGCGUCCGUAGGUGGCCUUUCAAGUCUGCGGUUAAAAACCAGAGCUCAACUCUGGGGGGGCCGUGGAAACUGAGAAGCUAGAGUACGGUAGGGGUAGAGGGAAUUCCCAGUGUAGCGGUGAAAUGCGUAGAGAUUGGGAAGAACACCGGUGGCGAAAGCGCUCUACUGGGCUUGUACUGACACUGAGGGACGAAAGCUAGGGGAGCAAAAGGGAUUAGAUACCCCUGUAGUCCUAGCCGUAAACGAUGGAAACUAGGCGUAGCCUGUAUCAACUCAGGCUGUGCCGAAGCUAACGCGUUAAGUUUCCCGCCUGGGGUGUACGCACGCAAGUGUGAAACUCAAAGGAAUUGACGGGGGCCCGCACAAGCGGUGGAGUAUGUGGUUUAAUUCGAUGCAACGCGAAGAACCUUACCAGGGCUUGACAUCCCGCGAAUCCUGCCGAAAGGUGGGAGUGCCUAAGGGAACGCGGAGACAGGUGGUGCAUGGCUGUCGUCAGCUCGUGUCGUGAGAUGUUGGGUUAAGUCCCGCAACGAGCGCAACCCUCGUCCUUAGUUGCCAUCAUUAAGUUGGGAACUCUAGGGAGACUGCCGGGGACAACUCGGAGGAAGGUGGGGAUGACGUCAAGUCAGCAUGCCCCUUACGUCCUGGGCUACACACGUACUACAAUGGUUGAGACAAAGGGCAGCGAACUCGCAAGAGCCAGCGAAUCCCAGCAAACUCAGCCCCAGUUCAGAUUGCAGGCUGCAACUCGCCUGCAUGAGGUAGGAAUCGCCAGUAAUCGCCGGUCAGCAUACGGCGGUGAAUCCGUUCCCGGGCCUUGUACACACCGCCCGUCACACCAUGGAAGCUGGCAACAUCCGAAGUCGUUACUCCAACCGUUCGCGGAGGAGGGCGCCGAAGGUGGGGCUAGUGACUGGGGUGAAGUCGUAACAAGGUAGCGUACCGGAAGGUGUGGCUGGAUCACCUCCUUU
This 1461-nucleotide ribosomal RNA is filed under the name Spirulina subsalsa. RNAcentral describes it as "bacterial SSU rRNA". It matches the Rfam family "Bacterial small subunit ribosomal RNA". Lineage: Bacteria; Bacillati; Cyanobacteriota; Cyanophyceae; Spirulinales; Spirulinaceae. The record is from RNAcentral.